This 253-nucleotide ribosomal RNA is filed under the name uncultured bacterium. RNAcentral's name for it is "partial 16S ribosomal RNA". It matches the Rfam family "Bacterial small subunit ribosomal RNA", at positions 524 to 776 of the family's 1533-position model. The record is from RNAcentral.
UACGUAGGGUGCAAGCGUUAAUCGGAAUUACUGGGCGUAAAGCGUGCGCAGGCGGUUGUGCAAGACAGAUGUGAAAUCCCCGGGCUUAACCUGGGAACUGCGUUUGAAACUGCAAGGCUAGAGUGUGACAGAGGGGGGUGGAAUUCCACGUGUAGCAGUGAAAUGCGUAGAGAUGUGGAGGAACACCGAUGGCGAAGGCAGCCCCCUGGGUUAACACUGACGCUCAGGCACGAAAGCGUGGGGAGCAAACAGG